UAUAUUGAACACUGAUGAAGAGAAUCAAGAAUUUCUUUAUUCACCAGGCUACUGUAAGGAGUUUUGGGGUGCUCUUUGUGGUAGAUAUGAAUUUGGAAUUGGGAGGAGGGGGAUGAAGGUUGACACAGGAAAGAAAAGAAACAGAGACAAUUUCAAGUCUAAACCAAACAAUUAAGCAAAGCACUUCCCAUUUUAUGGAGAAAAUGGGAUUGAACAGUUUCAAAAGUUUUAAUAUCUGUUCACCACCAGGAUGCUUUCUAACUAUCCAUUACAGCAUAAUUGUACAACACCCUAUCUCUCUUCCACAUCUCCUUUUUCUUUCUUUCUUUCUUUCUAAUGUUGCUUACAUUUGAAAUUUACAUGCUUCAUCAAUGCUGAUACAAACCCUCUCUGUGACAGGAAAAGGCACAACUAAUCCUCCCAGUCUUAUUCUGCGAAGAAAAAUAACAUGGCUAUUCACAGUAGUUAGAACCGCUUGUUUGCUAUGUUGCUGCAUACCAUUUUGCCAAUCUCUAAUUGUGAUUACAACUGGAGUUUAGAUCUUAUCGUAAUCCCUCUUGUAUGCCAUCAUGGCACAUGCAAUCUCUUCACACAUGCACAUAAACAAUCGCAUUCAACAACGUUGCUCUAUACUUUCUCUUGUGAAAUGGGGGUCCAACUGUAACCAGAAAAUACCUGCAAUGACUCUUUCAGCCUCCAUACCUUGGCCUAAUUCUUUGUAUUUUACAAAAAUUGCUACUUUUUAAGUUUGUUAAAAGCUCAGUCAAGCCAUGAAUUUAUGUUUUGUCUUCAAUCCAAUGCUUGAACUGCUGCUAUCCCAGAUUGUAUCAGUCUGCUGAAUCCAUAUUGCAUUGGGAAUCCUGUGCACUUUCGGGAUUCUGUUCCAGAUGGAGCAAAUGGUACUAAUUGAGAAAUCUUUGUCCGUCUACACCCUCGAGUACAUGUUCUGUGUAUACAAUUUGUCUAUCUUUGUUGAUGCUGGUGUACUGGAGAAGUGUCACAAAUGUAUCAUUUCAUUGCAAUCUGAAUCCGAUCAGUGUUCUAUUCCAUCCCAAAUCUAGGAUGCAAGAUCGUCUGUUCUGUCAUUUUUGAACAUUUUCUUUUUAUGGGUUUGUUGUGUACAAUGUUUUCUUAUGGUUACUAGAUCUGAACACCUUCAUCAGCUCUUAAGGUUUUGGAGGUCCUCUUUUGCUACUAACAUUGUUAAUAUCUAUGUAAAUGUAUUUGAUUCGAUGCAGACAAUCUAUAGGAUCAGCUUUGGCCAAAUAUACCUGAGCAAACCUAUGAUGACGGAGUUGGAUGGAGAAACUGCAACUUUGUUCCCAAAGGCUGCAAGGCCGAGGAACCUGACUUACUCUGCACAACAUGGCCCAUGUUUUGGACAGUCCAGAUUGGUGGUAUGUAUGCUGCUUUACAGUAGGCCUGUGAUGGUGAUGAGGAUAGCUUGCUUGGAUACAACGUUCACAGUGAUAGCAUUUGAAUGCUAUCAUUGAGGACGACCAAUCAGAGAAUGUCUUGAGCUCAAACGGUGCACCAGUCUUUCCUCCAAGACUCUCUUCCUACUCCUGCAUACAGAUGAAUGGCAAGGAGGUUUUCCACUUUGUUGUUUGAUGUGUGCCUUAGUCAAUUGAAACAUCAUUAGAAAGAGCUGGUCUCGUGAGUUCCAACAUCGAUUGGUUACUGCUACAUCAGGUAUAAAAUCUCCAAAUGUUAAUGGCAAUGCUAGUGAAAAGAAAGAAAAAGAACUAAUGGAGUGAUGAAUCGAUGCAGGCGAACUUAAGAAUCAUCGUUGUGCUCGUUCUUCUCCUUGUAGCCCACCUAAAUUCAUCAGCAUUUCAUGGUUUGAAACUCUUAUUAUUAUUAUCUUUUUAAUCUUCUCCUUUUGUUGUGUUUAGUUGUACCAAAAAUAAUUAAAUUUCAUGAUAUCUGGUGCAACCAAAUGCACCCUUUAUUGCCUUUUAUAUUUGUCUACCAAUCUAAAAUGCUUCGAAUUGAAUGGAAUCACCUUAUGAAGGGUGUGAUGCUACCACUGCCUAAGAGGGGACAUUAAUUCCAUCUAGCCAGCAGGAUCCACACAAACAGAGAGCAGGCAGUAUCUCAGAUAUACAGCUGCUAGCACAGCAUGGUUGAGUCAAAUGAUCCAGCAACUGAAGUACAGAAGCCUCAGAUGAACCAGCUCCUACUACCAACAUCACCCAGUCAACUAGUACAGAAGAUAGACUCUGUUGCAAGUUCUAUUAUCAGUAUUAUUUCCACCUUUUAAGUUCUGAACAUGAAGAGCAUCUUUGUUGUUAUUUGCUGCAAUUUUAUUUAUUUAUUUAUUAUAUAUUUGUGGAUUUUUUUUUGACUGGAUUAAGUGGGCCUGGGUUGUAUUAUUAGAGUGGUUCUUUCACCUGCAACAUUAUAAAUAAAGCGGUGUAGAGAGAUCUUUCUACACUUUUUCUUCUGCUUUAA
Molecule: long non-coding RNA, 2454 nt
Organism: Magnolia sinica
Lineage: Eukaryota; Viridiplantae; Streptophyta; Magnoliopsida; Magnoliales; Magnoliaceae
Exons: 3
Source: RefSeq, a predicted model, not a curated record